ACUCCUACGGGAGGCAGCAGUGGGGAAUAUUGGACAAUGGGCGCAAGCCUGAUCCAGCCAUGCCGCGUGAGUGAUGAAGGCCCUAGGGUUGUAAAGCUCUUUCACCGGUGAAGAUAAUGACGGUAACCGGAGAAGAAGCCCCGGCUAACUUCGUGCCAGCAGCCGCGGUAAUACGAAGGGGGCUAGCGUUGUUCGGAUUUACUGGGCGUAAAGCGCACGUAGGCGGACUAUUAAGUCAGGGGUGAAAUCCCGGGGCUCAACCCCGGAACUGCCUUUGAUACUGGUAGUCUUGAGUUCGAGAGAGGUGAGUGGAAUUCCGAGUGUAGAGGUGAAAUUCGUAGAUAUUCGGAGGAACACCAGUGGCGAAGGCGGCUCACUGGCUCGAUACUGACGCUGAGGUGCGAAAGCGUGGGGAGCAAACAGGAUUAGAUACCCGUGUAGUCCCAU
RNAcentral lists this ribosomal RNA (447 nucleotides) under uncultured organism. RNAcentral describes it as "partial 16S ribosomal RNA". It matches the Rfam family "Bacterial small subunit ribosomal RNA", at positions 335 to 798 of the family's 1533-position model. The record is from RNAcentral.